This is a long non-coding RNA of Scleropages formosus (Asian bonytongue), 3066 nucleotides long. The record is from Ensembl. Lineage: Eukaryota; Metazoa; Chordata; Actinopteri; Osteoglossiformes; Osteoglossidae.
CAACGCGCUCGAGAAUUCCGCCGGUGCUUUAAUUGAUCGGUGGAGCAGCGGCAGGACGGGACGCUGAGGAGGCGCUGUGGGGGGCUGCUCUACCUUACCGUACUUUACCCUGUGGACCGAAGUGGACCUGACCUGACUGCACCGGGCCGGAGCGAAGUGGGGACGGACGGUGCCAUACUGGCGACGCCGGCUGGAUCUAACUUUACCUCAGACGGCGCCGGCGAGCAGCAGCAGCACCGCGAAGGCGCGAACACCAGAGCAGAAGCGCCGCUGUGUGUUUCCACGACGUCUCGGAGGUUUCUGCCACAAUGACCACCCCACAGAAGAACGGUUCAGGGGACCGUUGGAAAAUCAACAAACACUCCACAGAGAGGUGACUGAAAAACUAUGCUGCCCGAAUUUGGGUGUCAGAGAGCGGCGAAUUGCUCCAGUCGGCUGGGAAAUGGCAGAAACAGGAGCUGUGAAGGUUACCAUCUCAGCUGCGAUCGCUGGGCCUUGAGGACUGGGCCCCGAAACGAAGACCUGCCUCAAAUAAAUGUGUGUGUUUUCCUGAGGCGGAGUGUCCGACAAGCGGCACCCACUAAGGCUGCUGUUGCAUUCGUGGCACAUGCUGCCCUGGGAGUUUGGCAAACACCGGUGGCACCUAAAGGGAGGGUAAAUGUCAGGUGUCUCUCAAAGCGUUUUUCGAAAAAGGGGCAGGAAUCUUAAUGUGCAGCUGCUGUCGGGGGACAGCCAAAUGGGGGAUGAGUCCCAGCCUUGCAGCUUGUGAACAAAUGUGGGAAAAUAGCCCCUCUCUCUCUCUCUCUCUCUCUCUCUCUCUCUCUCUCUCUCUCUCUCUCUCUCUCUCUCUCUCUCUCUCUCUCUCUCUCUCCCCUUCAUCAUGUGGUGGAUGAGUGUGGUAUUCUCAGCAGAGACCCAUCAUCAUGGUGAUUAGUGAUGGUGACAGUCAGAGGGGUCCUUACCAAUCAUAUUGUCAGCAUCCUGGGCAUCGAGAAGACAACUGGGAAGCAUCAUGUCAUAUUGCCAGCCGCUCCUCACUGCAGGGGUUCCACACCUGGAGCUUAUGGAAAAUGUGCAUGUGAUGCAUUUCACAAAGCAAGUGAUGGUCCGUGCUCAUGCUCAGAGCUUGAGGAGUGUUGGCACUGAGAAAGGGCACAUCACAGCUCACGUGGCAUCAAAGGGGCGCUCGGCAGACCGCUCAGAUCCACCCUGCUGACGCUGUAGGAACUCCUGCUCCGGGAGAUGCCGCACUGAAUUGGGAGGAGCAUUUUUUUCAAAGCAGUUGUGCUCUUGUAGCAGCAAAGUUUCCACAUAUUCACUUAUUGUCUGAAACUACUAUCAAAGCUCUCAGAAUAUUGUAAUAUCUGUGGCUAGAAAUAUUAUUUGCAAUGGAAAAGGGACAUUUAUUUUCAAAGGUGUAUGAGUACAGUUCUAAUUGGAGCCAGCAGGUGGUAUAGUGGUUGGAGUCAUUGCCUUGUCAAAAGGUCUAGGCUUCAAAUUCUGCUCUGCUGUAGGACCCUUCAUCAGGGAACUUAGCCCAAAUUGAUAUGGAAUGCCGUGCUGGACAAAUUAUGCCAUUAGAAGUAUCCUGGGACACCUCUCUACCUGACACUCUAAGCUCCCCUUUUUUAACCCAGUGUUGUAUGCAGCUUUGGAGAAAAUCAUCAUCUGCUGAAUUUCUUGAAUCAUCUGCUGAGUUUCUUGAAUUUCUUAGAUGCUGUUUUGGAUACUGGUGACCAGCAACUUUUACCUUCUGACCUUAUAAGUCAUUUAUCCACAUCCCCACUGUAUCAAUACAAGCAAAGUCUUUUACUGCUUAAGUAAAUGAAUGACCCUUACGUAUUGUCAUGUGCUGUUAAAAUGUUUUGGGUACAUCUGGCAAAGCAACUGAUGGUAUUAGAUGUCCUUAACAGGGAAAUCACUUGAGUGCCAGAUAAUUUCUAUUUAAAAUGUUAACCUUUUAGAUCAUGUUCUGUAGGCCUCUCUCUGAAUCUUACAUUGACUAGAACCAUCCUGGUCCCCAGAGUCACUGUAGACACUGAGACUUCAUGACUACUUGUGUGUUUCAUAUUCUCACUGCCUGUCGGACCUUGUGGAUAAAAAAGGGGGUGCUUGGGAAGAUCAGCGUCCCCCCUCAAUGAGAGGUUUUGUAUCUAAAGCUACAGGCUUUUCCUGAACUUAGGAAAUUAACGGAAAAAUAACUCACGGGUCCUUCUGCAAAAUUUAUUUGUUCAUUGUCUGCAGCUUCCGCUGAGUAUGUCACCAUUAAAGAGCGGGACUCAGCCUUCUUGUGCAAGGUGCUUAUUUCAGAUGUCCAGGCAUCUACCUGCAUAAUGCAUUUUAAAAUUUUCCAUUAAAAUUCAAAACCACGCAAAUCACACAUGUGAACUGACAAAGUGAUAUGAUGUAACUUGCAGUAAUUUCUGUCAGACCAUGUCCAGCAGUUGCUUCCAGAGGAAUCCUGUGGGUGCAGCCAAAGCUGUUCAAGGAUGCGUUGUGCCCAUGGGGGCUGGACCCAACAAUUAAAGUUAUACCUCAGGAUGUAGCACUUUGUUGAGGAUGUCCCAAAAGGGUCCCAUGCAAGAGCUCAGCAGGUUCUCUGCAUAGCCAUUGCCAAAUAAGGCGGUGUGUGUGUGUGUGUGUGUGUGUGUGUGUGUGUUCCCUACCACGGCAAUCUUUCCAUGGUGUCCCUUACAUUGAUUUGCACCGGGGCCAGCAGUAGAACAAAUAAGCAAAGCCGUGGCAUGCAUAUUUCAUCUGGACAUAUUUUUAUGACGGCACAUGGUAAGAUUUUUGGUGGGUUUUUUUUUUUUUUUUUUUUUUUUUUCCCCCCCCCCCUCCCCUUAAAUCACACAAGGAUGCUAUUAAAAACAGGCAGUAAUUCAUAUACUUCAGCUUAAUUUAAAGUCUCUUUCUUACUUUGGAAUGUGCCAUAUAUAGGCCUUCACAUUCAUGAAGCGACUGGUGCGCAGUCACCUCAAUAAUGGGAUUCCUAUACAGGUUUGCAUAGCUGCAGGGUGGAUGUCAAAGAGAAACACAAUGAAAUAAAUUUGUACAUGAUGUCCA